RNAcentral lists this ribosomal RNA (253 nucleotides) under uncultured bacterium. RNAcentral's name for it is "partial 16S ribosomal RNA". It matches the Rfam family "Bacterial small subunit ribosomal RNA", at positions 524 to 776 of the family's 1533-position model. The record is from RNAcentral.
UACGGAGGGUGCAAGCGUUGUUCGGAUUUAUUGGGCGUAAAGGGCGUGCAGGCGGUCUCGCAAGUCCGAUGUGAAAGCCCCGGGCUCAACCCGGGAAGUGCAUCGGAAACCGCGAGACUUGAGUACGGGAGAGGGCAGUGGAAUUCCUGGUGUAGGGGUGAAAUCCGUAGAUAUCAGGAAGAACACCGGCGGCGAAGGCGGCUGCCUGGACCGAUACUGACGCUGAGACGCGAAAGCGUGGGGAGCAAACAGG